Molecule: non-coding RNA, 993 nt
Organism: Paramuricea clavata
Lineage: Eukaryota; Metazoa; Cnidaria; Anthozoa; Malacalcyonacea; Plexauridae
Source: the annotation of a GenBank genome assembly
UUUCGUCAAUUGAAUUCCACACAUUACUGCCAACAAAACGUAUAUUAAAUUUUCCAUAGUUGGUUCUUACUUUUGGAAGGGAGUAUGACGAUCUCGAAGCAAGUCUGGUGUUAUAGUUAUGUUUUUGGCUUACUAAUGCAAAAUACUCAUCAAAUACGUGAGGAAGUCGACCUGUAUGAAAGUCGUACAUAAAUAGUGCAUUAUGAUAAAAAAUAAGGUCAUGAAACUUGAGAAAACGAAGUUGAAUGAAGAGAGGGUUAGUAUGAUCCUGAUAGUUAGAAAAUGUUAUUAAACGAAUAAUCUUUUUUUGUAGGAUAGCUAAUGGAUUCACUGUUGUUACUGGGUUUAGCUGAACUCUUCCCAAACAUAAAACCCAUGUCUUCAAAAAACUGUAUUAAAUUCAUACAAUUGAUAAUAUACGACGAACUAUCUUUACUACCAUUUAUUUGAAGGAGUUUGUUUUGACCGUCGCGUUACCGUCCUAAAAUCGUAAGGUCUCUAAUGGAAAGCGCCCUUGGAUCAGCAAACCUCAAAUUGACAAGUCUUCUGUUCAGACAAACGCAUAACCUUGCUUAAAGUGUAUAUAAAAUAUAUACAAACGUAAUACAACUCCAAUAAAGAGAUAAAAGUUUCAACAAGUUGCAUCGAACUUAUAGGUAGUGUUGGUAGGUACUGCAUGUACAACUGUUAAACACUGUGAUAGAGGCUGUUUAACUUAGGUAACGCAGCAGUACAGACUUUGUAAGUUCUUUAUAGAAUGCAUCGUAUUAUGGCUCACAAUGGACCUAUUUCCUAAUGAACAAAAUUUUGAUCUAGACAAGUCUAGACAAAAGUUCAUCACAGCUUGAAAGAGCAUCACAAAAUUAGUAAUAUUCCGAAGUUUCGUUGCGAGAUGUUGUAAAAUGCGGAUAAUAUAGCCAUGCGAAGUUUGCCGUUUUUCAGUCAUUUUGUAAUAUUACGCACGGGAAAUUGGUACCGCUUUCUGAAAAAAGG